This is a small nuclear RNA of Suncus etruscus (white-toothed pygmy shrew), 105 nucleotides long. Lineage: Eukaryota; Metazoa; Chordata; Mammalia; Eulipotyphla; Soricidae. The record is from RefSeq and is a predicted model, not a curated record.
GUGCUCGCUUUGGCAGCACAUAUACUAAAAUUUGGACCGAUACAGAGAUUAGCAUGGCCCCUGUGCAAGGAUGACACGCAAAUUCAUGAAGCGUUCCAUAUUUAA